UACGAAGGGGGCUAGCGUUGCUCGGAAUCACUGGGCGUAAAGCGCACGUAGGCGGAUUUGUAAGUCAGGGGUGAAAUCCCGGGGCUCAACCUCGGAACUGCCUUUGAUACUGCAAAUCUCGAGUCCGGAAGAGGUGAGUGGAAUUCCUAGUGUAGAGGUGAAAUUCGUAGAUAUUAGGAAGAACACCAGUGGCGAAGGCGGCUCACUGGUCCGGUACUGACGCUGAGGCGCGAAAGCUAGGGGAGCAAACGGG
RNAcentral lists this ribosomal RNA (253 nucleotides) under uncultured bacterium. RNAcentral describes it as "partial 16S ribosomal RNA". It matches the Rfam family "Bacterial small subunit ribosomal RNA", at positions 524 to 776 of the family's 1533-position model. The record is from RNAcentral.